Molecule: ribosomal RNA, 504 nt
Filed under: uncultured bacterium
Lineage: Bacteria
Description: partial 16S ribosomal RNA
Rfam family: Bacterial small subunit ribosomal RNA
Source: RNAcentral
AUUGAACGCUGGCGGCAGGCCUAACACAUGCAAGUCGAACGGUAGCACAGAGAGCUUGCUCUCGGGUGACGAGUGGCGGACGGGUGAGUAACGUCUGGGAAACUGCCCGAUGGAGGGGGAUAACUACUGGAAACGGUAGCUAAUACCGCAUAACGUCGCAAGACCAAAGUGGGGGACCUUCGGGCCUCACACCAUCGGAUGUGCCCAGAUGGGAUUAGCUAGUAGGUGGGGUAAUGGCUCACCUAGGCGACGAUCCCUAGCUGGUCUGAGAGGAUGACCAGCCACACUGGAACUGAGACACGGUCCAGACUCCUACAGGAGGCAGCAGUGGGGAAUAUUGCACAAUGGGCGCAAGCCUGAUGCAGCCAUGCCGCGUGUAUGAAGAAGGCCUUCGGGUUGUAAAGUACUUUCAGCGGGGAGGAAGGCGGUGAAGUUAAUAGCUUCACCGAUUGUCGUUACCCGCAGAAGAAGCACCGGCUAACUCCGUGCCAGCCGCCGCAGUAA